GGCCGGGUCCUAUGCAACGUCGGGUUGGUGAAUUCCGCCAGGGCCGGAAGGCAGCAACGGUAGCCUGCACCCGGGUGUGCCGUAGGGUGCCUGGCCCUC
This 99-nucleotide signal recognition particle RNA is filed under the name Oceanipulchritudo coccoides. RNAcentral describes it as "Bacterial small signal recognition particle RNA". It matches the Rfam family "Bacterial small signal recognition particle RNA". Rfam says of the family: The signal recognition particle (SRP) is a universally conserved ribonucleoprotein involved in the co-translational targeting of proteins to membranes. Lineage: Bacteria; Pseudomonadati; Verrucomicrobiota; Opitutia; Puniceicoccales; Oceanipulchritudinaceae. The record is from Rfam by way of RNAcentral.